Molecule: non-coding RNA, 85 nt
Organism: Nematostella vectensis (starlet sea anemone)
Lineage: Eukaryota; Metazoa; Cnidaria; Anthozoa; Actiniaria; Edwardsiidae
Source: Rfam
UUUGCAACAGUGAUGAUUGAAUAAAAGCAUAGUUCAUCUGAAUAAUAUUGUAGAAAAAUAUUUCGCCCCUAUCUGAAGUUGCAAA